UACGUGAGCUCCAAGCGUUAUCCGGAUUUAUUGGGCGUAAAGGGUCCGUAGGUGUUCCGACAGGUUUUCUGUUAAAUCUCUAGGGCUCAACCUUAGAGUUGCAGAAAAAACCGGCGGAAUUGAGAGCAUUAGGGGCUGGUGGAACAGUCGAAGUAGGGGUGAAAUCCGUUGAUAUCGACUGGAAUACCAAAAGCGAAAGCAUCCAGCUGGGAUGACUCUGACACUGAGGGACGAAAGCGUGGGGA
This 245-nucleotide ribosomal RNA is filed under the name uncultured bacterium. Its description in RNAcentral is "partial 16S ribosomal RNA". It matches the Rfam family "Bacterial small subunit ribosomal RNA", at positions 524 to 767 of the family's 1533-position model. The record is from RNAcentral.